This 497-nucleotide ribosomal RNA is filed under the name uncultured bacterium. Its description in RNAcentral is "partial 16S ribosomal RNA". It matches the Rfam family "Bacterial small subunit ribosomal RNA", at positions 28 to 507 of the family's 1533-position model. The record is from RNAcentral.
GAUGAACGCUGGCGGCGUGCCUAAUACAUGCAAGUCGAGCGAACAGACGAGGAGCUUGCUCCUCUGACGUUAGCGGCGGACGGGUGAGUAACACGUGGAUAACCUACCUAUAAGACUGGGAUAACUUCGGGAAACCGGAGCUAAUACCGGAUAACAUGUUGAACCGCAUGGUUCAACAGUGAAAGACGGUCUUGCUGUCACUGAUAGAUGGAUCCGCGCCGCAUUAGCUAGUUGGUAAGGUAACGGCUUACCAAGGCAACGAUGCGUAGCCGACCUGAGAGCGUCAUCGGCCACACUGGAACUGAGACACGGUCCAGACUCAUACGGGAGGCAGCCGUAGGGAAUCUUCCGCAAUGGGCGAAAGCCUGACGGCGCAACGCCGCGUGAGUGAAGAAGGUCUUCGGAUCGUAAAACUCUGUUAUUAGGGAAGAACAAAUGUGUAAGUAAAUAUGCACGUCUUGACGGUACCUAAUCAGAAAGCCACGGCUAACUACGUG